RNAcentral lists this ribosomal RNA (558 nucleotides) under Ustilaginaceae sp. RNAcentral's name for it is "partial large subunit ribosomal RNA". It matches the Rfam family "Eukaryotic large subunit ribosomal RNA", at positions 98 to 658 of the family's 3401-position model. Lineage: Eukaryota; Fungi; Basidiomycota; Ustilaginomycetes; Ustilaginales; Ustilaginaceae. The record is from RNAcentral.
GAGGGAAGAGCCCAAGAUUGAAAGCUGGCGUCUUCGGCGUCCGCAUUGUAAUCUCAAGAAGUGUUUUCCGCUUCGGACCAUGCCUAAGUCCCUUGGAAAAGGGCAUCAUAGAGGGUGAUAAUCCCGUAUAUGGUAUGGAGCGCCCGAAGCUUUGUGAUACACUUUCUAAGAGUCGAGUUGUUUGGGAAUGCAGCUCAAAAUGGGUGGUAAAUGCCAUCUAAGGCUAAAUAUUGGGGAGAGACCGAUAGCGAACAAGUACAGUGAUGGAAAGAUGAAAAGAACUUUGAAAAGAGAGUUAAACAGUACGUGAAAUUGCCAAAAGGGAAGGGUAGGAGGUCACAUAUGCUUCCAGGGAAUUUAUUCCUUGAUUGCAGGCCAACGUCGGUUUUGGGCACUGGAGAAGGGUAGGAGGAACGUGGCAUCCCUCGGGAUGUGUUAUAGCCUCUUACUGGAUACAGCGACCGAGACCGAGGACAGCAGCGUACUCGCAAGAGCGGGCCUUCGGGCACCUUUACGCUUAGGGCGUUGGCAUAAUGGCCCUCUACCACCCGUCUUGAA